This is a long non-coding RNA of Bombyx mori (domestic silkworm), 606 nucleotides long. RefSeq lists it as uncharacterized. NCBI's taxonomy places the organism in Eukaryota, Metazoa, Arthropoda, Insecta, Lepidoptera, Bombycidae. The transcript is spliced from 3 exons. The record is from RefSeq and is a predicted model, not a curated record.
UGUAAUGGAAGUUAUUGUGGGCCGAGAACUCACAAAUUGGUGUCCAAUGAGCCCCUAUAUUAAGUCUUUGUUGACCGCAGAUUGUUGCAGAUCCGUCUUAAAGAACUGUGCUCACGAACCGGAUGAGAAGUCGUCGUGGCCUAAAGGAUUAAAUGGCCGGUGUAUUGAUAUGUAGCGAUUCAUCGGUAUUGGAAUCCCGCCGACAGAGUUGUGCUGGUAAAUUGUGUCAUACUAUCUGGACGUAUGGAAUGAUACAAACUUAGAGCAAACUGAGAAAGUGUACAGUGGCGUUGCAGUGUUUCAUCUUUUCAAGGUGAUAAGAAUUUAUAAUCUUAGAACAAUUAUGUUAACAACAAAUGUAAUUAAGAUUAAAAACAUUGUGAGGCAUUUUGAAAAUUUCAGUAUUAUAUUUUAUUAAUUUACAUUUAAACAUAACAUUUAAAUUUCAUUCAAUCUUAAUUACAUAAUACAUAUAUUGGGCUUAUCCAAUAUUUCAAAAUGUAUUUAUAUAUUAUGUAUUAUUAAACGCAAAAUCAGGAUCGGAUUAGUUCUCUGAAAUUGUUAGAUGUCGUAAAACAUUGUUAUUAAUAAAAAAAUUAAAACAAC